AAAACGUUUGCCUCCAACUAUAAACGCGGCAACCCGAGAGGCCGCGACUGCCGAGGCAGGGUCUGGGGCCGGUCAGUGUUGUGCCGCCCGUUGAAACCACCACGUAACGUCUCGGACGGCUAGACGCGGUCCACGCUAGCUCCUUGCUAUCUCCGUCCUACUCCUCCUCAUACUUUACCGCAAAGCGCGCACCACGAAUUGCACCUACCCAUUUCGCUAAUCUCCCUCCACGAGCCGACCAAAUCGAAUCGAAUCGCGCGCAGCGCGCCCGCGCAGCGAUUGCCGGCGAUGGCGAGCCUCACCCUGCCGCCGGCGCCCCCCAACCCACGGCAGGACGCCAUCGACCUCCAAAAGGCCUUCAAAGGGUUUGGCUGUGACAGUACAACAGUGAUAAACAUACUUACUCAUCGCGAUUCAGUGCAGCGUGGACUCAUUCAACAGGAAUACAGGGCUAUGUAUCAUGAGGAACUCUCCCAUCGCAUUUCAUCUGAACUCAAUGGAAACCACAAGAAAGCUAUGUUGCUGUGGAUUCUUGAUCCUGCUGGACGUGAUGCAACUGUUUUGAGAGAAGCUCUAAGUGUUGACACUAUGGAUCUGAGAGCAGCCACUGAUAUUAUAUGUUCCAGGACGCCAUCACAGUUGCAAAUAAUGAAACAGACUUAUUAUGCUAGAUUUGGUACUUAUCUUGAGCAUGACAUUGGUCACCACACAUCUGGCGAUCACCAGAAGCUUUUACUUGCCUAUGUGGGGAUUCCACGCUACGAAGGUCCUGAGGUUGAUCCUACCAUUGUGACACAUGAUGCAAAGGAUUUGUACAAAGCUGGUGAGAAAAGGCUGGGUACGGAUGAGAAGACCUUUAUCCGCGUUUUCACUGAACGCAGUUGGGCACACUUGGCAUCUGUUUCGUCUGCCUACCAUCAUAUGUAUGACCGGAAAUUAGAGAAGGUUAUCAAGAGCGAAACAUCUGGAAACUUUGAAUUCGCACUUUUAGCUAUCCUCAGAUGCGCGGAAAACCCAGCAAAGUAUUUUGCAAAGAUUGCUCUUGUAUCUUCGGUGCCGAAUACAGCUCUUACGAAAGGCCAUGAAAGGUCUAGGCACUGAUGACAAGACACUUAUAAGGGUUGUGGUGACGAGGACUGAAAUUGAUAUGCAAUAUAUCAAGGCAGAGUACUUCAAGAAGUAUAAGAAGCCAUUAGCUGAGGCUAUCCACUCCGAAACAUCAGGAAACUAUCGGACAUUCCUUCUUUCACUUGUUGGUCCUGGACAUUAGGUUAUGUUUCGACCAUGGGACAUGAUAUUCCAUCCAUCCACCCUAAAUGCAGCGACCUACCUGGAAAACUUAUGAUGUUGCCAUUUGUCAGUGGUGACUCGUGGAUUCGUCUAACUUCCACAUAUGCGGUAUCUAGUAUGCUUGACUAAAGUAUUCGUGUUUAAAUUUGUAUCUGGGUUUCUUGUUGGAAAAUUCUGUGCGGGGGCACAACAGCUGUUGUUGGUCACGCUAGGCUUGACUUGUGUCUCCAUGACAUCAAUAAUAUUAUGUCAUGUUCGUGUGUGGUCAUUCCACUAUUAGAGAAAGCACCAUAUGUACCGGUUGGGAAUUGGCUUUAAAGAGGAGAUUUUAGUACCGGUU
Molecule: RNA transcript, 1630 nt
Organism: Zea mays
Lineage: Eukaryota; Viridiplantae; Streptophyta; Magnoliopsida; Poales; Poaceae
Gene name: Annexin D5
Exons: 7
Source: RefSeq, marked provisional